AACGCUAGCUACAGGCUUAACACAUGCAAGUCGAGGGGAAACGAUAUUGGAAGCUUGCUUCCGAUAGGCGUCGACCGGCGCACGGGUGAGUAACGCGUAUCCAACCUGCCCACCACUUGGGGAUAACCUUGCGAAAGUAAGACUAAUACCCAAUGACGUCUCUAGAAGACAUCUGAAAGAGAUUAAAGAUUUAUCGGUGAUGGAUGGGGAUGCGUCUGAUUAGCUUGUUGGCGGGGUAACGGCCCACCAAGGCGACGAUCAGUAGGGGUUCUGAGAGGAAGGUCCCCCACAUUGGAACUGAGACACGGUCCAAACUCCUACGGGAGGCAGCAGUGAGGAAUAUUGGUCAAUGGACGAGAGUCUGAACCAGCCAAGUAGCGUGCAGGAAGACGGCCCUAUGGGUUGUAAACUGCUUUUAUAAGGGAAUAAAGUGAGAGUCGUGACUCUUUUUGCAUGUACCUUAUGAAUAAGGACCGGCUAAUUCCGUGCCAGCAGCCGCGGUAAUACGGAAGGUCCGGGCGUUAUCCGGAUUUAUUGGGUUUAAAGGGAGCGUAGGCCGGAGAUUAAGCGUGUUGUGAAAUGUAGAUGCUCAACAUCUGCACUGCAGCGCGAACUGGUUUCCUUGAGUACGCACAAAGUGGGCGGAAUUCGUGGUGUAGCGGUGAAAUGCUUAGAUAUCACGAAGAACUCCGAUUG
This 696-nucleotide ribosomal RNA is filed under the name uncultured bacterium. RNAcentral's name for it is "bacterial SSU rRNA". It matches the Rfam family "Bacterial small subunit ribosomal RNA", at positions 32 to 715 of the family's 1533-position model. The record is from RNAcentral.